GGCGCUAUAGCCAAGUGGUUACGGCGACAGAUUCGAAUCCCUCCGUAUCUGUUCCUCUUUGAGGGCGCAGGUUCAAAUCCUGCUGGCGUCG
RNAcentral lists this transfer RNA (91 nucleotides) under Laccaria bicolor S238N-H82. It matches the Rfam family "tRNA". From Rfam's summary of the family: Transfer RNA (tRNA) molecules are approximately 80 nucleotides in length. The record is from Rfam by way of RNAcentral. Lineage: Eukaryota; Fungi; Basidiomycota; Agaricomycetes; Agaricales; Hydnangiaceae.